RNAcentral lists this ribosomal RNA (648 nucleotides) under uncultured bacterium. RNAcentral describes it as "bacterial SSU rRNA". It matches the Rfam family "Bacterial small subunit ribosomal RNA", at positions 796 to 1444 of the family's 1533-position model. The record is from RNAcentral.
CACGCCGUAAACGAUGAGUGCUAGGUGUUAGGUCCUUUCCGGGACUUAGUGCCGCAGCUAACGCAAUAAGCACUCCGCCUGGGGAGUACGACCGCAAGGUUGAAACUCAAAGGAAUUGACGGGGGCCCGCACAAGCGGUGGAGCAUGUGGUUUAAUUCGAAGCAACGCGAAGAACCUUACCAGGUCUUGACAUCCCGAUGCCCGCUCUAGAGAUAGAGUUUUUCUUCGGAACAUCGGAGACAGGUGGUGCAUGGUUGUUGUCAGCUCGUGUCGUGAGAUGUUGGGUUAAGUCCCGCAACGAGCGCAACCCUUAUUGUUAGUUGCCAUCAUUGAGUUGGGCACUCUAGCGAGACUGCCGGUAAUAAACCGGAGGAAGGUGGGGAUGACGUCAAAUCAUCAUGCCCCUUAUGACCUGGGCUACACACGUGCUACAAUGGUUGGUACAACGAGUCGCAAGCCGGUGACGGCAAGCUAAUCUCCGAAAGCCAAUCUCAGUUCGGAUUGUAGGCUGCAACUCGCCUACAUGAAGUCGGAAUCGCUAGUAAUCGCGGAUCAGCACGCCGCGGUGAAUACGUUCCCGGGCCUUGUACACACCGCCCGUCACACCACGAGAGUUUGUAACACCCNAAGUCGGUGAGGUAACCAUAU